This is a long non-coding RNA of Balaenoptera ricei (Rice's whale), 280 nucleotides long. RefSeq lists it as uncharacterized. The transcript is spliced from 3 exons. Lineage: Eukaryota; Metazoa; Chordata; Mammalia; Artiodactyla; Balaenopteridae. The record is from RefSeq and is a predicted model, not a curated record.
GCCUUUACUGCUGCAAGAUAUUGGAAAUCUGUUCAAGGUUUUGACCUUUUAUGAAUCUGGAUUUUUCACUCCACAGUUAGCCGGAGGAUUUAACAUAAGGAGAAAACAUUUUCUUUUACCUAGGUUCUGCCUCAUGUGACUUCAGUCAACACUGGAAUUUUUUUAAAAGAAUCACUGCUUUAAGGGCAUGGCCAAGAUGGAGAAGUAGAAAGACCCUGAGCUCACCUCCUCCCACAGGCAUGCCAAAAUUACAACUAUUUACAGAGCAACUAUUGAUGAG